RNAcentral lists this transfer RNA (75 nucleotides) under Ignisphaera aggregans. RNAcentral's name for it is "tRNA-Trp". It matches the Rfam family "tRNA". Rfam says of the family: Transfer RNA (tRNA) molecules are approximately 80 nucleotides in length. Their secondary structure includes four short double-helical elements and three loops (D, anti-codon, and T loops). The record is from RNAcentral. Lineage: Archaea; Thermoproteati; Thermoproteota; Thermoprotei; Desulfurococcales; Desulfurococcaceae.
GCCCGUAGCUCAGCUAGGUAGAGCGGCGGGCUCCAGACCCGUAGGUCGGGGGUUCAAAUCCCCCCGGGCCCACCA